CCCCUAGAUGUUCUGGGCCGCACGCGCGCUACACUGAACAGUUCAACAAGUCUUAACCUUGGCCGAUAGGUCUGGGUAAUCUUUGAACGCUGUUCGUGAUUGGGAUAGACCUUUGCAAUUAUGGGUCUUCAACGAGGAAUUCCUAGUAAACGCAAGUCAUCAGCUUGCAUUGAUUACGUCCCUGCCCUUUGUACACACCGCCCGUCGCGCCUACCGAUUGAAUGGUCCGGUGAAAUCUCGGGACGGCGGCUUGGUCGCUUGCGUCCGACUGCUGAAACUUGAUUAAACCAUAUCAUUUAGAGGAAGGUGAAGUCGUANCA
This 320-nucleotide ribosomal RNA is filed under the name uncultured eukaryote. Its description in RNAcentral is "partial 18S ribosomal RNA". It matches the Rfam family "Eukaryotic small subunit ribosomal RNA", at positions 1470 to 1796 of the family's 1831-position model. The record is from RNAcentral.